This 253-nucleotide ribosomal RNA is filed under the name uncultured bacterium. Its description in RNAcentral is "partial 16S ribosomal RNA". It matches the Rfam family "Bacterial small subunit ribosomal RNA", at positions 524 to 776 of the family's 1533-position model. The record is from RNAcentral.
UACGAGGGGGGCAAGCGUUGUUCGGAAUUAUUGGGCGUAAAGGGCGCGUAGGCGGUGCGGUAAGUCACCUGUGAAAACUCUGGGCUCAACUCAGAGCCUGCAGGCGAAACUGCCGUGCUGGAGUGUGGGAGAGGUGCGUGGAAUUCCCGGUGUAGCGGUGAAAUGCGUAGAUAUCGGGGGGAACACCUGUGGCGAAAGCGGCGCACUGGACCACAACUGACGCUGAGGCGCGAAAGCUAGGGGAGCAAACAGG